UGACGGUAUGCCUUACACAUGCAAGUCGAACGGAAAAGGUCUCUUCGGAGAUACUCAAGUGGCGGACGGGUGAGUAACACGUAGGAAUCUGCCCCAGAGUGGGGGACAACCAAGGGAAACCUUGGCUAAUACCCCAUAUGGCGUGAGCUGAAAGUUUUUUCGCUCUGGGAGGAGCCUGCGCUUGAUUAGCUAGUUGGUGAGGUAAUAGCUCACCAAGGCGACGAUCAAUAGCUGGUCUGAGAAGAUGACCAGCCACAAUGGGACUGAGAUACGGCCCAUACUCCUACGGGAGGCAGCAGUGGGGAAUUUUGCGCAAUGGACGAAAGUCUGACGCAGCAAUACCGUGUGUGGGAUGACGCCUCGUGGGGUGUAAACCACUGUCAGAAUGGAAAAAUUUGAUUGUACAUUCAAAGGGAAGCACCGGCUAAUUCCGUGCCAGCAGCCGCGGUAAUACGGAAGGUGCAAGCGUUGUCCGGAUUUAUUGGGCGUAAAGAGUUUGUAGGCGGUUUUUGUAAGUCUGAAGUGAAAUAAUGGAGCUCAACUCCAUACACGCUUUUGAAACUACAGAACUAGAGGAUGUUAGGGGUGAGUGGAAUUUCC
RNAcentral lists this ribosomal RNA (600 nucleotides) under uncultured cyanobacterium. Its description in RNAcentral is "bacterial SSU rRNA". It matches the Rfam family "Bacterial small subunit ribosomal RNA", at positions 37 to 671 of the family's 1533-position model. Lineage: Bacteria; Bacillati; Cyanobacteriota. The record is from RNAcentral.